UUAAAGGGGCUGAGUAGGGGAUCAGCAGGCCGUGGGAAGGAGAGAUGCCUUACUCAGUUUCCGCAGAGCCUGCUUCAGCUGGGACGUGGUGUGUUGGUCCAGUAGCUGGCAGGAGGGGAUCCCAGUGGCUGGCAGCCCUAAAUUGUGGCCCAAAUUGGAGGAGAGGGCCUCUGGGUGCCUUUAAGGAUCUGCACUCACCCUGGCAUAUCCCUACACCCCAAGGGAGCACUCCCUCAGGCCAGCUCCGUACCUGGGGUCCUCCUCUGUCUCCUUCCAAGCUUCCAAGUGUGACCUGCCUUCUUCAGGCACUUUCCCCUGCCUUUUAACGAGAGGCCCCGCGUUUUCAUUUGCACAGAGCCCUGCAAAUGAUGCAGCUAGUCUUGCAAGUUGGUGCAACGUAUGGAAACCCAAGGACGCUUUCUGCUCUUGGAAUUACCCACAUUCGUCGGUUCUUCCGCACUUGAACGUGAAGAGAAGAGUGGUGCGUGGAGAUGACCGAGGCAGAAACACCCGGGGGAGCACUUUCAGCACUCUGGCCGGGCUGGUCUUCGACUGGAUGAUCGUGAAGGACACGGAGGCCGGCGGGUUCUCAGACUCCCAUAACGUGCUGCGGUGGUGAGACUCAGAGCUUUGCAUCUUUGGUGGGAACAUCACAGAGGUGCGACUCUUAGGCUUCUGAUUGCACUUACCGCGCCUUCGCCCGUCACUGAUGACAUCACUGUCACCACUUGGGUGAGGUGGCGUCUGCCAGGGUGCCCCACUGUGAAGUCCCUCUCUUACCUCCUUUGCGAUCAAAUCCUCACGUUCUUGGAGUCUAUGUACAUACCUCCUUCCUACAUCUCAGAGAUGGAGAAGGCAGCCAAGCAGGGGGCACCGUCUUGGUGUCUGGGAUGAGGACCGGGAGCUCCAAGAUCAAGGCUCGCCUCCAGGAGGCCGUCUACAAGUGUUCAUAGUCCACCCUGGUGACAGGUGGGUACUUGAGACUGGCCGCCUGUACGAAAUUACCAUCGAAGUGCUUGACGAGUCUGGCAGCAAGGUCUACCUGUCAGACAACAUCUGAAUUGAAACCGUGCUUUCCUCCUGAGUUCUUUGAGGUGCUCUCUUCUUCCCAGAAUGGGUCAUACUAUCACGUCGGGACAGUAAAGAG
Long non-coding RNA from Diceros bicornis minor, 1147 nucleotides. RefSeq lists it as uncharacterized. The transcript has 7 exons. The record is from RefSeq and is a predicted model, not a curated record. Lineage: Eukaryota; Metazoa; Chordata; Mammalia; Perissodactyla; Rhinocerotidae.